UACGUAGGGGGCUAGCGUUGUCCGGAAUCAUUGGGCGUAAAGAGCGUGUAGGCGGCCCGGUAAGUCCGCUGUGAAAGUCGGGGGCUCAACCCUCGAAUGCCGGUGGAUACUGUCGGGCUAGAGUCCGGAAGAGGCGAGUGGAAUUCCUGGUGUAGCGGUGGAAUGCGCAGAUAUCAGGAGGAACACCAAUAGCGAAGGCAGCGCGCUGGGACGGUACUGACGCUGAGGCGCGAAAGCGUGGGGAGCGAACAGG
This 253-nucleotide ribosomal RNA is filed under the name uncultured bacterium. RNAcentral describes it as "partial 16S ribosomal RNA". It matches the Rfam family "Bacterial small subunit ribosomal RNA", at positions 524 to 776 of the family's 1533-position model. The record is from RNAcentral.